AAGCGGAGGAAAAGAAACCAACAGGGAUUGCCCUAGUAACGGCGAGUGAAGCGGCAACAGCUCAAAUUUGAAAUCUGGCUUCGGCCCGAGUUGUAAUUUGCAGAGGAAGCUUUAGGCGCGGCACCUCCUGAGUCCCCUGGAACGGGGCGCCACAGAGGGUGAGAGCCCCGUAUAGUUGGAUGCCUAGCCUGUGUAAAGCUCCUUCGACGAGUCGAGUAGUUUGGGAAUGCUGCUCAAAAUGGGAGGUAAAUUUCUUCUAAAGCUAAAUACCGGCCAGAGACCGAUAGCGCACAAGUAGAGUGAUCGAAAGAUGAAAAGCACUUUGAAAAGAGGGUUAAAUAGCACGUGAAAUUGUUGAAAGGGAAGCGCUUGUGACCAGACUUGCGCCGGGCUGAUCAUCCGGUGUUCUCACCGGUGCACUCUGCCCGGCUCAGGCCAGCAUCGGUUCUCGCGGGGGGAUAAAGGCCCUGGGAACGUAGCUCCUCCGGGAGUGUUAUAGCCCGGGGCGUAAUGCCCUCGCGGGGACCGAGGUUCGCGCUCUGCAAGGAUGCUGGCGUAAUGGUCAUCAGCGACCCGUCUUGAAACCACGGA
This 591-nucleotide ribosomal RNA is filed under the name Acrophialophora fusispora. RNAcentral's name for it is "partial large subunit ribosomal RNA". It matches the Rfam family "Eukaryotic large subunit ribosomal RNA", at positions 48 to 665 of the family's 3401-position model. Lineage: Eukaryota; Fungi; Ascomycota; Sordariomycetes; Sordariales; Chaetomiaceae. The record is from RNAcentral.